UCACCUCUUUCUCCUCAUAGCCCAUGAGAGAUCAGCUUUCUUUUUCUCCCUUUCUACUUACUAUGGUUUCUCUCUUUUGAAAUUCUACUCCAAGAAAUCAAAUCUUCUUCAAAUGAUCGGUGCAAAGUCAGAUCAAAAUCAACCCACUUGAGAAAGCCAUUACAGCAACAAAACCAAAGACACGUGCUCGUUCAGUGACAUCCACUUCUUCAAAAGUUGCAUAUUCUUCCACGUGAGUAGUGAGCACUACCUUGCAUGUUGAUAAAAACUGACCUUGCGCUAGCGUUUCGCGUUCUUUCUAUUUGAUCUGAGGUGGGCUGCAUGAUCUAGGUUGCCGUUACAUGAAUGUGCUAGCACUUGUUGCGAAAUAUGGACUUCGAGACAAAAUAGUCCCACAAACACCAACACUCAAGCCAAGGGGUGGUGUAACAAUCAAGCGAAGAAUAUUGGACUCAUAAAGUGAAAAAUUCGAUGAAACUUUGAGGUAACUUUUGUAUGUACUUGUACAAUUCUAUCUAUGACUUUUGGUCUAUUACACCAUGUCGAUGAUAUUUUAUUAACAUUUUGAGGUUGUCUUUUGUGUGUAUAUGCCUCAAUGUAGCUUCCGAUUGAAUGCACUUUGUAUAUAUGAUGCAUAAUGUCUUAAAAAUAUUUAAGUAGUUUGUAUAUAAAAUGUACUUGUGGAUUGCUGCAAUUUUUAUGAGUUAGUGACUUAUAGAAA
Molecule: long non-coding RNA, 721 nt
Organism: Salvia miltiorrhiza (redroot sage)
Lineage: Eukaryota; Viridiplantae; Streptophyta; Magnoliopsida; Lamiales; Lamiaceae
Exons: 5
Source: RefSeq, a predicted model, not a curated record